Molecule: long non-coding RNA, 1110 nt
Organism: Pseudomyrmex gracilis
Lineage: Eukaryota; Metazoa; Arthropoda; Insecta; Hymenoptera; Formicidae
Exons: 5
Source: RefSeq, a predicted model, not a curated record
UGCAACUUACCGUCGUGCAACGAACAUCGUGGAGGGCCACAACGAUUGCUGUUGCGAACUAAAAGUUAUUUUUUGAAUCCGUGUUCCACACCACAUUUAUCUCAGUAUCUUGGUACAAAUCUAUCUUAGACUGGAUUAUGAUCCUCCCGUAAAGAAGUAAGCGCCAUUUAAGCAAAGAAGAAGAUCAUAAAAAGCAUGAUUUUUAGUCUUGUAAAGUUGUUGAAUUGCCAGAAUCCUGAAGUUUAUAAUACGUGACAAUGAGUGACGAUCACGAAUGUAGAACAACAAUGAGACGACAUUGAUAAAGAAACUUUUCUGACUAAUUGAAACUGAAGUGUCACGAAUAAUAUACCAUUAGAACAAUUCGUUGUUUAUUUGAUAAUAAAAGAAAAUUACUCAUCGAAACUACCUAUAAAAUUAGUAAAUUAAACUUUUAAGAAGAAAUCACAUGAAAUAUUAAAUGUAUCAAUAACAGCGAUAAUCAAUUAGAUAAAUUACAAUGUCAAACUCUACAAUUAACAAAAAUUAUUAUAGAAUUAAAGACAAAGUCCUAUCUACAAACUAAGAGAGAACAAAGGAUCAAAUUUUACAUUAAAUAAAAGAGGAUUAUUUGAACCAAACAGCAGUAAUGCACACACUGUGGAGAAUUUGAAAUAUCAAAGAUGCCAAAAAUAAUCAAGUGGAUCAAGUACACUACCAAAAAAAUGAACAAUUACCAAAAUCCUUUAAAAGGAAAACAAAGAGAGGACAAAGAAUUGAAUUUGAAGCUAAAAAAGUAGGACUAUUCAAUCCAACCUGCAAUAAUGUACAAACCGUGGGAAAAUCGCAUGAUAACACUGAUAAUCAAAUGGACCGAGUGCAAUGCGAAAACCAAUUAACAAAAUCCUCUACAGGACUGAAAACAAAGUUUAUCUAUAAACAAAGAAAGAAGGGAAUCAAAUCUUAAACUGGACAAGAAAAAGUAGGAUUAUUCAAAACUUUGAAAUAUAAAUCAAUUAAUAAGUAUAGCGUUAUCUUUAUAGCGUUAUCUCUAUAGUAAAAUCGAGUAAUUCUGAUUAUUUUGUAAUACAAGAAUACUUAAAUAAAGAUAAGAAUAAUGUAAAUUUGUUA